Molecule: ribosomal RNA, 492 nt
Filed under: uncultured bacterium
Lineage: Bacteria
Description: partial 16S ribosomal RNA
Rfam family: Bacterial small subunit ribosomal RNA
Source: RNAcentral
AGUGAACGCUGGCGGUAGGCCUAACACAUGCAAGUCGAACGGCCGCACAGUAAGAUCUUGCUCUUACGGGUGGCGACUGGCGGACGGGUGAGGAAUACAUCGGAAUCUACUUUUUCGUGGGGGAUAACGUAGGGAAACUUACGCUAAUACCGCAUACGACCUACGGGUUAAAGCAGUGGUUCUUCGGACCUUUCGUGUUUGAAUGAGCCGAUGUCGCAUUAGCUAGUUGGCGGGGUAAAGGCCCACCAAGGCGACGAUCCGUAGCUGGUCUGAGAGGAUGAUCAGCCACAAUGGAACUGAGACACGGUCCAGACUCCUACGGGAGGCAGCAGUGGGGAAUAUUGGGCAAUGGGCGAAAGCCUGAUCCAGCCAUACCGCGUGAGUGAAGAAGGCCUUCGGGUUGUAAAGCCCUUUUGUUGGGAAAGAAAAGAAGCAGGUUAAUACGCCGCUGUUCUGACGGUACCCAAAGAAUAAGCACCGGCUAACUUCGUG